ACGCAUUAAGCGCCCCGCCUGGGGAGUACGAUCGCAAGAUUAAAACUCAAAGGAAUUGACGGGGCCCCGCACAAGCAACGGAGCAUGCGGCUUAAUUCGACGCAACGCGAAGAACCUUACCAAGGCUUGACAUAUACAGGAAUAUGGCAGAGAUGUCAUAGCCGCAAGGUCUGUAUACAGGUGGUGCAUGGUUGUCGUCAGCUCGUGUCGUGAGAUGUUGGGUUAAGUCCCGCAACGAGCGCAACCCUCGUUCUGUGUUGCCAGCAUUUAGUUGGGGACUCACAGGAGACUGCCGGGGUUAACUCGGAGGAAGGUGGGGAUGACGUCAAAUCAUCAUGCCCCUUAUGUCUUGGGCUGCACGCAUGCUACAAUGGCUGGUACAAACGGCUGCAAUACCGCAAGGUGGAGCGAAUCCGAUAAAGCCAGUCUCAGUUCGGAUUGGGGUCUGCAACUCGACCCCAUGAAGUCGGAGUUGCUAGUAAUCGUAGAUCAGCAACGCUACGGUGAAUACGUUCCCGGGGCUUGUACACACCGCCCGUCACGUCACGAAAGUCGGUAACACCCGAAGGUCAGUGCCCAACCGUAAGGGG
RNAcentral lists this ribosomal RNA (590 nucleotides) under uncultured Actinomycetes bacterium. RNAcentral's name for it is "bacterial SSU rRNA". It matches the Rfam family "Bacterial small subunit ribosomal RNA", at positions 855 to 1448 of the family's 1533-position model. The record is from RNAcentral. Lineage: Bacteria; Bacillati; Actinomycetota; Actinomycetes.